GACGAACGCUGGCGGCGUGCUUAACACAUGCAAGUCGAACGGAAAGGCCCUGCUUUUGUGGGGUGCUCGAGUGGCGAACGGGUGAGUAACACGUGAGUAACCUGCCCUUGACUUUGGGAUAACUUCAGGAAACUGGGGCUAGUACCGGAUAGGAGCCCCUGCUGCAUGGUGGGGGUUGGAAAGUUUCGGCGGUUGGGGAUGGACUCGCGGCUUAUCAGCUUGUUGGUGGGGUAGUGGCUUACCAAGGCUUUGACGGGUAGCCGGCCUGAGAGGGUGACCGGCCACAUUGGGACUGAGAUACGGCCCAGACUCCUACGGGAGGCAGCAGUGGGGAAUAUUGCACAAUGGGCGGAAGCCUGAUGCAGCAACGCCGCGUGCGGGAUGACGGCCUUCGGGUUGUAUACCGCUUUCGCCUGUGACGAAGCGUGAGUGACGGUAAUGGGUAAAGAAGCACCGGCUAACUACGUG
RNAcentral lists this ribosomal RNA (468 nucleotides) under uncultured bacterium. RNAcentral's name for it is "partial 16S ribosomal RNA". It matches the Rfam family "Bacterial small subunit ribosomal RNA", at positions 28 to 507 of the family's 1533-position model. The record is from RNAcentral.